Molecule: long non-coding RNA, 3416 nt
Filed under: Mus musculus (house mouse)
Lineage: Eukaryota; Metazoa; Chordata; Mammalia; Rodentia; Muridae
Description: long non-coding RNA chr1:103225863-103229279
Source: RNAcentral
AUCUUUCCAUCUUCUGAGUUUUUUUUUUUUUUUUUUGAUUUCUUUCUUCAGAGACUUGAAGUGCUUGUCAUUCAGACCUUUCACUUGUUGGUUAAGGUCACUCAAAGAUAAUUUAUAUAGUUUGUGACUAUUGUGAAAGGUGUAAUUUCUCUAAUUUUUUUCUCAGUUCAUUUAUUCUUUGAAUAUAGGAAAGCUAGUGAUUUGUUUGAGUUAAUUUUAUAUCCAGCCACUUUGCUGAAUUUGUUUAUCAGCUGAAGGAGUUCUCUGGUGGAAUAUUGGGGUUACUUAAGUUACUAACAUAUCAUCUGCAAAAGUGCUAUUUUUGACAUCUUUCUUUCCAAUCUGUAGCCCUUUGACCUCCUUUUAUUGUCUAAUUGCUCUAGCUGGAACUUCAAGUAUUAUUUUGAACACAUAGUAAGAGAAUGGACAUCAUUUUCUAAAUCCCUGAUUUUAGUAGGUUUGCUUCAAGUUUCUCUCCAUUUAGUUUGAUGUUGGCUACUGAUUUGCUCUAUGUUUCUUUUACUAAGUUUAAUUAUGAGACUGGAAUUCUUUUUCCAAAACUUUUAACAUGAAGGGAUAUUUAAUUUUGUCAAACUUUUUUUUUGUAUCAAACGAAAUGUUCAUAUGAUUUUUGUUUUUCUUUGAUUUUGUCUAUGUAGUGGAUUAUGUUCAUGGCUUUCUAUAUAUUGAACCAUCUCUGAUUCCCUGGUAAGAACUCUACUUGAUUUUGGUAUGGUAAAUUAUUAUGUUCAUAUGUUUUUGGAUUUGGUUUGUGAGAAUUUUAUUGAGAAUUUUUACAUCGAUUUUCAUAAUGGAAAUUGGUCUGAAGUUCUCUUUUUUUUGUUGGGUCUUUGCAUGUUUUGGGUAUCAGCAUUACUGUGGCUUCCUAGAACGAAUUCGAUACUGUUCCUUCUCUUUCUAUGUUGUGGAAUAGUUUUAAGAGUACUGGUAUUAUAUUCUGUUUGAAGGACUGAUAGGACUCUGCACUAAAACCAUCUGGUCCUGUUUUGGUUUUGUUUCUGUUUUUGUUUUUGUUUGACUUUUUUUUUUUUUUUGGGUUAGGAUACUUCUAAUGUCUGUUUUUAUUUCUUAAGGGGUCAUGAGAUUGUUUUGAUGGUUUGUCUCUUCCACAUUUAACUCUGUCCAUAGAUGAGAGUGGGAUGUUGAUGUUUCCCACUUUUAUUGUGUGAGAUGCAGUGUGUGCUUGGACUUCAGUAAAGUUUAUUUAUUAAUGAACAUAAUUGGUCAGGAUUGAGAGUUCAUCUUGGCAGAUUUUUCCUUUGAUGAGUGAGUAUGAAGUGUUCUUCCUUUUUUUUUUUAAUGAGUUUAGGUUGUAAGUCAGUUUUAUUUGAUAUUAGAAUAGCUACUAAAGGUUGUUUCUUGGGACCAUUUUCUUGUAAAUUCUGUUUUUCCAGCCUUUUACUCUGAGAUAGUAUCUGUCUUUUUCACAGACGUGCAUUUUCUGUAUGCACCAAAAUACUAGGUCCUAUUUAUAUAUCCAGUCUGUUAGUCUACGUCUUUUUAUUGGGCAAUUGAGUUCAUUGAUAUUAAGAGAUAUUAAGGAGUAGUGAUUGUUGUUUCUAGUUAUUUUUGUAGUUAGAGAUGGAAUCAUGUUUGUGUGACUAACUUCUUUUGGGUUUGUUGAAAAAUAUUACUUUCUUGCUUUUUAUAGACUGUAGUUUCUCUCCUUAGGUUGGUGUUUUCCAUCUAUUAUCCUUUGCAGCACUGGAUUUGUGUAAAGAUAUUGUGUAAAAAAUUUUAUCAUAGAAUAUCUUGGUUUCCCCAUUUAUGGUAAUCGAGGGUUUUUCUGGGUAUAGUAGGCUAUGUUGGCAUUUUUAUUUUCUUAAAGACUGUAUUACAUUUAUCCAGGAUCUUCUUGUUUUUGUAGUCUCUGGUGAGAAAUCUGAUGUAAUUCUGAUAGUUCUGCCUUUAUAUGUUACUUGACAUUUUUUCCCUUUCUGCUUUUAGUAUUCUUUGUUUGUUUUGUUCAUUUGGUGUUUUCACUAUUAUGUGAUGGAAGCAAUUUCUUUUCUGUCCCAAUGUAUUUGGAGUUUUGUAGGGUUCUUGUACAUUUAUGGUCCUCUCCUUUUUAAGUUACUGAAGUUUUCAUCUAUAAUUUUGUUUAAGAUAUUUACUGGUCCUUUGAGUUGGGAAUAUUUGGACUUUUCUAUAACCAUUUUCCUGAGGUUUGUUCUUUUGUGUGUGUGUUCUGCAUCUUCUGGAUGUUUUGGCUUAGGAGAUUUUGCAUUUUGCAUUUUCUUUGACAAUUGUCUCAAUAUUUACUAUGGUAUCUUCUGAACCUAAGAUUCUCUCUUCUGUCUCUUGUACUCUUUUGGUGAUGCUUGCAUCUGUGACUCCUGAUCUCUUUUCUAGGUUUUCUUUCUCCAGGGUUGUCUAAGUUUGUGAUUUCUUUAUUGUUUCUAUCUUCAUUUUUAGAUCCUGGAUGGUUUUGUUCAAAUCAUUCACUUGUUUGGUUUUGUUUUCCUUUGCUACUUUAAGAUAUUUUUGUGUUUCCUCUUUAAGGGCUUCUACCUGUUUACCUGUGUUCUUCUGUAUUUCUUUAAGGGAGUUAUUUAUGUCCUUGUUAAAGUCCUCUAUCAUCAUCAUGAGAUAUGAUUUUGAAUUAGAGUCUUGUGUUUCCAGCAUGUUAGGGUAUUCAGGGCUUGCUGUGGUUGAAGAACUGGGUUUCAAUGAUGCCAAGUCACCUUGGUUUCUGUUGCUGACGCUUUUUCCUUGCAUCUUGCUAUCUGGUUAUCUCUGGUGUUAGCUGGACUUACUGACUCUGACUGUUGCUUGUCCCUCCUGGAAACCUGUGUUUCAGCACUACUGGGAGACCAGUUCUUUACAGGAGGAAUUUGUGUAUGGAGAGCUGUGGAACAAUGUUAGCUCCAGGCACAGAUGGAAAUCAGGAGCCCUACAUUAAUUAUAUAUACGAAUGGGUAGACACUAGCCACCGAUAUUCUAGACUGGAAUAUUUUUACAUAAUGCUCAGUGCAUGCUGGGUAAACUUAAACAUGGAGAAGGAAUUAAAAGUUAUAAGCUGAUUCUGAUCUAACAUGAUGUACUGAACUUGAAAUGAGUCUAAACUUUUUGAAUUAUUCCUUAACAUCCUUUUAUAAAACAACUUAUACUCAUAACAAUAUUUAAAAAAACAGGUUUAUGGGUUAAUAAAACUCAUAACUGUGCUUAUGAGAUAUCUCAAUAGUUACAGUGCUUGACUUGCUGCAUAAGGAUCCAUGUUUUGUGCCCACAACCUUUGUAAAAGUCACAUGUUGGUAUGCCCUUAGAAUAUCAACACUUGGGAAAAUUAAGUAGGAGGAUCCUCACAGUCAUUGGCCAGCCAAUUUAUGCUGAAUUGGUGGACUUAGGACAAUGAGAAAAAUUUAUCGCUAAAAUACAAAAACAGAACAGAACAG